Molecule: small RNA, 373 nt
Filed under: Pongo abelii (Sumatran orangutan)
Lineage: Eukaryota; Metazoa; Chordata; Mammalia; Primates; Hominidae
Description: processed transcript
Source: RNAcentral
GCGAAAACCAACGUGUUCGGUGACAGACCCCAGCGCCUACUGAGCCCCUAAAGCGACUUCAGCCCUGCCCCACCAACACCACCGCGCGCCCGGGAACAGCCGCUCCGGGAAGAGACCUGAGGGGACUGCGGGGGGCACGAGGGACAGCUGAGGGAAGGGAGGACGCGGGUGAAACAGCGCGAGCACGCUGAGGGCCGGGGGUUGCCAGGAGAGGGGCCCGCGGACCCGCAGAGCGGAGAAAGACAUCCCUCCUACCAACGCAGUGGACUUCACUGGAAGAUGCUAUUUCACCAAAAUCUGCAAAUGUAAACUGAAGGACAUUGCAUGUUUAAAAUGUGGGAACAUUGUAGGUUAUCAUGUGAUCGUUCCAUGU